AUUUUAAGCUCUUCAUGUGAAACAACUCAUUUAUGUUUUACAACUCUGUGGAAGAAGUACAUUUACUUUCCAUUUUAUAGAUAGAAAAAGAUGUAGAGAGGCUGGUUUUUCCAAAGUCACACAGCUAGUAAGUGGCAAAGUCUAGAUUCAGACUCCAGCAGUCUUCCUCCAGAGUUGAUCCUCGUAAACAUUGUACCAUGUUGCUCCUUUGAUCCAGAUAUAACAAGUUAUCUUAUAAAUUGCACAGUUACAUAUUAGCAUGCUGCAUCAUGCCAUAUUAGUAUAUAAGCACAUUACAUGUAACAUACCAUUUCUCUUGCACAAGUAAUUCUAUCUUUGUUAAUGCUCCUUAAAAAAGAAAGUUCCUAAAAACAUUCUAUUCUUUUCGAUUUAUUCAGAUCAUCUCAAUUAUAAAAAUACACAUUGAUUUCCUUCCAGGUCACAAGCAAUGCUCUAGUCCCAGGUCUUACCCAGCUGAGUGCAGCAAAGGAGAUGGAGACGUAAACCAAUAAUUGCAAUAUCUUGUGACCAGUUCAAUAAGAGAGGUGAGAUUUAGGAACAGAGUGGCCCAGAGGAAGGACUGUUAGGUCCUGUAAGCAUUUUGCUUCUUUCAUUUCAGAGAUGUGCCAUCUUUUUAACACUAUAAUUUUAGGUAUCAAGGAAAUCAUGAUAAAACCCACCAAGUGCCUCAAUACAAUUUAGUUUUACAAACAUAAUAACUACAAUGAGGAUACAUCUUGAUGUGAUUGGUAUGUGCUUAUUUAUGCCUGAUGUCCCAGUGCAAUUAUUAAUAGCACUCCUUUCACUUUCAAAAGUAACAUGAUUUGGAUGAAAAUAACAAGGUUAGCCUAAAAAUCCAAGAAAAUAUCCUAGCCAGUAGGUGUAAAUAAUUCUGAGACACAUUAAUAAAAGGGGCACCUUCCAAUAUGAAGGCCAUGUAUAAUCUAUAGACAGAACUUUUGUCCUUAGGGUUGUAGGAUAUAUAAUUCAGAUAUAGUAGCCCCUGGUCAUCCCAGGUAAAGAACAGCAACAUUUGUGCAGAUUCAGCAAUGCAGAGGGCAUUGAUUAAAAAAAAAUAGGGAUAUUUUGUAAAGAAUGUGUUGGUCAAAAUCCAUAAGAAAGAAGUCACUUACUUUACUGACACCAGAUAAUGAUAACACUGUGGAACGAGAUACUCUAGCUUAUAGCCUGUUCAGAGGGCUCAGGACAUGAUAAUUCCAUCCAGGAUAGCCAAAGUGGAACAAGAUGGAAGAAACUUUUGCAAAAGUUGUAGAGGCCACAGUCUGUUACUCAAAGUUACAAUGGUGUAAUGCUGUUGGAAGCUGUAUUAUGAGUACACGUUCUAUUAAUCAGCCAUAAGAGGAACAAAAAUUUUUUGGAAAGAAGCUAGAUAAUAUUACUGGCAUUUAACAAUCAUGAAGUUACAAUAGCAAAAAUAAAUUAAAAUAUAAACAAAUGACCCAAGAUAUUCAGUAAGAGAUACAAACAUUUGAAGGCAGAAAUAAUGUCACUUCCUCUAGUUUUGACCCUUACAAUAACUGUCAUUUUUGGCCUCACUUCAUAUAGGUGUGCUGUGCUGAGACUGUGAAUGACAGCGGGUCAGCAUUUCCUUCACUUCUGCUUGAGGCAUAUGUGUAUUGGAACCUUAUUCAAAGAACUGCUAUCAUAAUUUAAGACCCCAAAAUAUGUUCAUGCUGAAUAAGUGGCAAGGAGCUAGCAUAGUUGCCCUAAAACCCUUUAGUUGUGCCUCUACUGACUUCAACCCAACCUUACCCCACAAGACAUAGAGGAACAAUGUUUGAAUACCAGUUUUCCUAUAUAUACUCUUUGCUCACUUAAAAAAUAUCACUUGGGAGCCAGCGCUGAUGGCCUGGUGGUUAAAGUUUGGCAUGCUCACCUCUCCAGCGGCCCAGGUUUGCUUCCCAGUCGCGAAACCCCACCACCUGUCUGUCAGUUGCCAUGCUGUGGCAGAAACUCACAUAGAACCAGAAGGACUUACAACUAGGAUAUAUAACCAUGCACUGGAAUUCUGGGGAGGAAAAAAGAGGAGGAUUGGCAACAGCUGUGAGAUCAGGGCAAAUCUUUCCCUGCAAAAAACCAAAAAACAAACAAACAAAAAUCCCACUGGGGUCAAUUUUAUGUAUCUAUAAAGCUGUUCUAUCAUAGAAGGUAUAGAGCCCUUGAUAUUUGUAAAGUUGGGCAUCAAUAUUUUUAAUUGUGAAGGCCAAGGGAAAUUUGAUUAUAGUCAAUCUGCAUCACUCAAAGCUCUUUGGUUGGAAAUAACCAAAACUCCUCAAAGUAGUUAAAGCAAAAAUACAAAAAGAAAAUAAAAAGGAAAUAAGACCACUAUUCAAGGUCUAGAAGUGAAAAUAGGCAUCACUAGGGACAGAAGCCAAGACAUGAAAAGCCAUCAGAAAUGGAAUCUCUCCUGGAUUUCAUGUUUUGCCACCUUUUUUUCCUUUUUCUGUGUCCAUUUCACUUUUCUGUUUUUGUCAGUGGAUUUUCUCUUUUGGUCUACUCUUCAAGAUACAUGGUCUCUAAAAUAGAAUUCUCC
Long non-coding RNA from Equus caballus (horse), 2554 nucleotides. Lineage: Eukaryota; Metazoa; Chordata; Mammalia; Perissodactyla; Equidae. The record is from Ensembl.